RNAcentral lists this ribosomal RNA (428 nucleotides) under uncultured bacterium. RNAcentral's name for it is "bacterial SSU rRNA". It matches the Rfam family "Bacterial small subunit ribosomal RNA", at positions 355 to 775 of the family's 1533-position model. The record is from RNAcentral.
CUAAGAAUAUUCCGCAAUGGACGAAAGUCUGACGGAGCGACGCCGCGUGGAUGAUGAAGGCCGAAAGGUUGUAAAGUCCUUUUGCUGGGGAAGAAUAAGCAUGGGAGGUAAUGCCCGUGCGAUGACAUGAACCGGCGAAUAAGCCCCGGCUAACUACGUGCCAGCAGCCGCGGUAACACGUAGGGGGCGAGCGUUGUUCGGAAUUACUGGGCGUAAAGGGCAUGUAGGCGGCUUGGUAAGCCUGGCGUGAAAGUCACCGGCUCAACCGGUGGAUUGCGUUGGGUACUGCUGAGCUUGAAUCACGGAGAGGGAGCUAGAAUUCCAGGUGUAGGGGUGAAAUCUGUAGAGAUCUGGAAGAAUACCAGUGGCGAAGGCGAGCUCCUGGCCGAUGAUUGACGCUGAGGUGCGAAAGUGUGGGGAUCAAACAG